UUGAUAGUUUGCCUCUUCAGAUGACAGGAACACAGAUGUGAAUAAAAUUUGAGUUGCUAGCAGUUGAUUAGUUAAUAGUAGUUUUCCCAACUCCUCUGUUCAUGUUACCUUUUUCUAGAGCAGUAAUUAUAGAAAUCUUCCCCAGACAUCAUAGGAGUGGACAGAUAGUAUUACGUUCUAUGUAUUAGCACAGAUUAGUUCAGUUAGUUUUCACACUUAAUGUUGUUAUUAAUAUUAUAGUAAUAACUAUCCUUUUCACUUUUCCUCAUAUUUAUGCUUUGAUUUUUCUAGAUUCUUUGUUCCCGAACUAUUUUUUGGGUAAAAGGAUUCCUAGAAUUCAGAAUAGAUAGGUUUUAAAAGAACCAGAAAUUUUGACUAAUGAUAGCCCUUGAAUCACAGUUCAAAGAGCAGAGUUACACUAGAAUCAAGACUAAAUGUUCUUUUUGUGCUAUUUGUUUUGAUGUUUUUCAGAGUUUGUGAUUGCACAAACUUGUGCCUUUAGUGGUGUAUAGAUUACUUCUAUAUGUGAAUUCACUGUUUUUUUUUAAUGUGUUUCAAUACAUAGAGCCAAUAAGUUUUCAGUUUUAGCUGUGCCCGUCGCAGAGAAGUAGUAGUUAUCACUGUUUGGGUUUUACUGUAAAAUUCAUACUUGAUUAAAACUAUAAGGAUACAGAAUAAAAUUUGGCAUAAAUGAUUUUAGUGAUAGACUGAAAAAUAAUGUUUGCAUAAUACUGUCUUUUUAAGAAAUUCUAAAUUGAAUUCUAUAUUUCAAAUAUUGAGUAGCAAUCUUACAUUCUUUGGGUGCUUUUGUAAUUUUAUAUCUAAAU
Molecule: long non-coding RNA, 827 nt
Filed under: Bos taurus (domestic cattle)
Lineage: Eukaryota; Metazoa; Chordata; Mammalia; Artiodactyla; Bovidae
Description: long non-coding RNA NONBTAT000386
Source: RNAcentral